This 505-nucleotide ribosomal RNA is filed under the name uncultured bacterium. RNAcentral's name for it is "partial 16S ribosomal RNA". It matches the Rfam family "Bacterial small subunit ribosomal RNA", at positions 28 to 507 of the family's 1533-position model. The record is from RNAcentral.
GACGAACGCUGGCGGCGUGCCUAAUACAUGCAAGUAGAACGCACAGUUUAUACCGUAGCUUGCUACACCAUAGACUGUGAGUUGCGAACGGGUGAGUAACGCGUAGGUAACCUGCCUGGUAGCGGGGGAUAACUAUUGGAAACGAUAGCUAAUACCGCAUAAUAUUUAUUAUUGCAUGAUAAUUUAUUUAAAGUUGCUAUUGCAUCACUACCAGAUGGACCUGCGUUGUAUUAGCUAGUAGGUGAGGUAACGGCUCACCUAGGCGACGAUACAUAUCCGAACGGAGAGGGGGAACGGCAAAACUGGGACUGGGACAAGGCCCAGAAUCCUAAGGGAGGCAGCAGGAGGGAAACUUCGGAAAUGGACGAAAGUCUGAACGAGCAACGCAGCGGGAGUGAAGAAGGUUGUCGGAUCGUAAAGCUCUGUUGUAAGAGAAGAAAGGGAGUGAGAGUGGAAAGUUCACAAUGUGACGGUAGCUUAACAGAAAGGGACGGCUAACUACGUG